RNAcentral lists this ribosomal RNA (253 nucleotides) under uncultured bacterium. Its description in RNAcentral is "partial 16S ribosomal RNA". It matches the Rfam family "Bacterial small subunit ribosomal RNA", at positions 524 to 776 of the family's 1533-position model. The record is from RNAcentral.
UACAGAGGUCCCAAGCGUUGUUCGGAUUCACUGGGCGUAAAGGGUGCGUAGGCGGUCGGGUAAGUCUGAUGUGAAAUCUCACAGCUUAACUGUGAAACUGCAUUGGAUACUAUCCGGCUCGAGGAAUGGAGGGGAGACUGGAAUACUUGGUGUAGCAGUGAAAUGCGUAGAUAUCAAGUGGAACACCAGUGGCGAAGGCAGCUCGCUGGGACGGUACUGACGCUGAGACGCGAAAGCGUGGGGAGCAAACAGG